This 28-nucleotide small RNA is filed under the name Bombyx mori (domestic silkworm). RNAcentral describes it as "ovarian small RNA-17080". The record is from RNAcentral. Lineage: Eukaryota; Metazoa; Arthropoda; Insecta; Lepidoptera; Bombycidae.
GCUCGACGGGGAAGCGGUACAUCCGCAG